Molecule: ribosomal RNA, 515 nt
Filed under: Escherichia coli
Lineage: Bacteria; Pseudomonadati; Pseudomonadota; Gammaproteobacteria; Enterobacterales; Enterobacteriaceae
Description: bacterial SSU rRNA
Rfam family: Bacterial small subunit ribosomal RNA
Source: RNAcentral
UUUUCAGAGAUGAGAAUGUGCCUUCGGGAACCGUGAGACAGGUGCUGCAUGGCUGUCGUCAGCUCGUGUUGUGAAAUGUUGGGUUAAGUCCCGCAACGAGCGCAACCCUUAUCCUUUGUUGCCAGCGGUCCGGCCGGGAACUCAAAGGAGACUGCCAGUGAUAAACUGGAGGAAGGUGGGGAUGACGUCAAGUCAUCAUGGCCCUUACGACCAGGGCUACACACGUGCUACAAUGGCGCAUACAAAGAGAAGCGACCUCGCGAGAGCAAGCGGACCUCAUAAAGUGCGUCGUAGUCCGGAUUGGAGUCUGCAACUCGACUCCAUGAAGUCGGAAUCGCUAGUAAUCGUGGAUCAGAAUGCCACGGUGAAUACGUUCCCGGGCCUUGUACACACCGCCCGUCACACCAUGGGAGUGGGUUGCAAAAGAAGUAGGUAGCUUAACCUUCGGGAGGGCGCUUACCACUUUGUGAUUCAUGACUGGGGUGAAGUCGUAACAAGGUAACCGUAGGGGAACC